Molecule: long non-coding RNA, 1308 nt
Organism: Oncorhynchus tshawytscha (Chinook salmon)
Lineage: Eukaryota; Metazoa; Chordata; Actinopteri; Salmoniformes; Salmonidae
Source: Ensembl
GGGAGAGGGAGACAGGUUGGUGGGGAGAGAAGAGUGGCAGGGAGAGGGAGACAGGUUGGUGGGGAGAGAAGAGUGGCAGGGAGAGGGAGACAGGUUGGUGGGGGAAAGAAGAGUGGCAGGAAGAGGAAGACAGGUUGGUGGGGAAAGGAAGGUGUCAGGGAGGGGAGACAGGUUGGUGGGGAGAGAAGAGUGGCAGGGAGAGGGAGACAGGUUGGUGGGGAAAGAAGAGUGGCAGGGAGAGGAAGACAGGUUGGUGGGGAGAGAAGAGUGGCAGGGAGAGAGAGACAGGUUGGUGGGGGAAAGGAAGGUGUCAGGGAGAGGGAGACAGGUUGGUGGGGAGAGAAGAGUGGCAGGGAGAGGGAGACAGGUUGGUGGGGGAAAGAAGAGUGGCAGGGAGAGGGAGACAGGUUGGUGGGGAGAGAAGAGUGCCAGGGAGAGGGAGACAGGUUGGUGGGGGAAAGAAGAGUGCCAGGGAGAGGGAGACAGGUUGGUGGGGAAAGAAGAGUGCCAGGGAGAGGGAGACAGGUUGGUGGGGAGAGAAGAGUGGCAGGGAGAGGAAGACAGGUUGGUGGGGGAAAGAAGAGUGGCAGGGAGAGGGAGACAGGUUGGUGGGGGAAAGAAGAGUGCCAGGGAGAGGGAGACAGGUUGGUGGGGGAAAGAAGAGUGCCAGGGAGAGGGAGACAGGUUGGUGGGGGAAAGAAGAGUGCCAGGGAGAGGGAGAAUGCGUGGAGGACAAAGGAGAGGAAGACCAAUAGCGAUGGUCUCAGAUAAGGGCCACAAUUACUGACCAUAUUAUAAACCAUGGUCUCUCUUUGAGAGGCCGGUUUAAGGGUGCAACCAAAUCUGCAGCGUGCAACAGUUACAUCAAUAGUGCAACAGGUGAGAUGUGUGUCCUUCAAUGAUAAUUGAACUACAUAUUACAGUACAAUACAGUAUGUUCAUAUUUUUUUUAUAUAUAUAUAUAUUUUUUUUUUUUUACAUGUACUGACAUUUUGAAAUAUAUUGAUUGUUUUGUGUUUUUUCCAGUAGGAUCCAAAGGUUGCCUCCCACAGGAGGGAGAGGCAGAAUAUUAUCAGAUGGGCAGGAAAUUGCCAUUGUUGACAUUAUAAUUGGCAACAAUGCAAUAAAACGGAGGGUGCUGGCAGACAUUAUCACUGUUGGGAAUGUGAAUACGGUCAGCUCAACGACAGUUGCCUGAGUCCCAGAGAAACAUUAAAUAAGGAUGAAGCAGUUGUUCCCUUUGAGAGAAACGGGGAACGUGUGAAUGAACUCCGGUAUCAAUAUGUCCAGGUAAGAUGUCUGUUUAAU